This 497-nucleotide ribosomal RNA is filed under the name uncultured bacterium. RNAcentral's name for it is "partial 16S ribosomal RNA". It matches the Rfam family "Bacterial small subunit ribosomal RNA", at positions 28 to 523 of the family's 1533-position model. The record is from RNAcentral.
GAUGAACGCUGGCGGCGUGCCUAACACAUGCAAGUCGAACGGAACUAUUUUGGAAACUCCUUCGGGAGCGGAAUCUUUAGUUUAGUGGCGGACGGGUGAGUAACGCGUGAGCAAUCUGCCUUUAAGAGGGGGAUAACAGUCGGAAACGGCUGCUAAUACCGCAUAAAGCAUUGAAUUCGCAUGUUUUCGAUGCCAAAGGAGCAAUCCGCUUUUAGAUGAGCUCGCGUCUGAUUAGCUAGUUGGCGGGGUAACGGCCCACCAAGGCGACGAUCAGUAGCCGGACUGAGAGGGUGAACGGCCACAUUGGGACUGAGACACGGCCCAGACUCCUACGGGAGGCAGCAGUGGGGAAUAUUGCGUAAUGGGGGAAACCCUGACGCAGCAACGCCGCGUGAUUGAAGAAGGCCUUCGGGUUGUAAAGAUCUUUAAUUCGGGACGAAUUUUGACGGUACCGAAAGAAUAAGCUCCGGCUAACUACGUGCCAGCCGCCGCGGUAA